AAGAUCGGCUACAAUUACACUUGUCAUGUAACGAGUGCUUUUAUACAUUUUUCGUAUAGCAGCCGUGGUUUGAACGUGAUAAGCAUUACGCUAGGUCUUCUGUGGCAUAUAGAAAUUUCGUAAAAUUAUCAUAAGACGGCCAAAUGAAUUACAAGUGAAACCAAAAACUAGGUAUCAUUUACAUUUUAGUUACAUGUUGUGGAGACGCCUCUAACACUAUAAUCUGGGCUACGAAGUCAUCAUUCCAGUAUCAUGGGAUCUGGAGAGAUCUAAGUCGUCAUGGACCACAAGUCGGCUGUCGUAGAAGGAGAGACAUUCAGGACAGAGGUGAACUUCAACGUCAUUUCCAUGGCUGAAUGAUUAUUCAUCUUCAAAAUAUGGAUAACUAUUUAACUCCAAGAUAUGAAUAAUUAAUUUGAAGACAGCGUGUUCAGUAUACGGUGUGCCUGCUUUGGGAGGAUAUUCCUCGUUGAGAACUUUGAAGAUCUUUUGCUUAUUGCUUGCUUUCGGUGAUUUUCUGCCAGCCAAGAUCAUCCUGACAUUUAAAAGAAAAUUGAGAUCUUUUGCCUAACAGAAAACAAUAUUUGCUUAGCAAGUGCAGUUUAGCGCGUUUCAAAGUUUUCUUUUGGGUGUGUAGAGGGGGGAGUGUAAAAUUACUACCUCGAGUACGUUUCGUCAAGUUGUGAUAUAUAUAGAGCAAAAAUCCUGCUGUAAAUCAUCUCGAAUCUGAUGCGCAUUGUAUUAGUGCUUCAUAAUGCGCUUUUUUUGUCAUGGAGAACCGUUUCCCAAGAUAACGCUACGCCCUCGAACUCUUUGCUGUGCAGAGUGUGCCAUUCAGUCCUUAACACUAAAGAGAGGGAGUUGGACAGCAAAAUGACAAAAAAGGAAGCAGGAAUGGAGGUACAAGCUAGAGAGUGGGUGCAGCUGGGGGCC
Long non-coding RNA from Macrobrachium nipponense, 933 nucleotides. RefSeq lists it as uncharacterized. The transcript has 4 exons. Lineage: Eukaryota; Metazoa; Arthropoda; Malacostraca; Decapoda; Palaemonidae. The record is from RefSeq and is a predicted model, not a curated record.